This 253-nucleotide ribosomal RNA is filed under the name uncultured bacterium. Its description in RNAcentral is "partial 16S ribosomal RNA". It matches the Rfam family "Bacterial small subunit ribosomal RNA", at positions 524 to 776 of the family's 1533-position model. The record is from RNAcentral.
UACGUAGGGGACAAGCGUUGUCCGGAUUUAUUGGGCGUAAAGAGCGUGUAGGCGGCCAGACAGGUCCGUUGUGAAAACUCGAGGCUCAACCUCGAGACGCCGAUGGAAACCGUCUGGCUAGAGUCCGGAAGAGGAGAGUGGAAUUCCUGGUGUAGCGGUGAAAUGCGCAGAUAUCAGGAAGAACACCCGUGGCUAAGGCGGCUCUCUAGUACGGUACUGACGCUGAGACGCGAAAGCGUGGGGAGCGAACAGG